Molecule: ribosomal RNA, 57 nt
Filed under: uncultured bacterium
Lineage: Bacteria
Description: partial 16S ribosomal RNA
Source: RNAcentral
GACCCUUAACCGGCGAAGGGGGGGCGGUUGCCACGGUGGCGUUUCGUGACUGGGGUG